CGCGGGGUGGAGCAGCUUGGUAGCUCGUCGGGCUCAUAACCCGAAGGCCAGAGGUUCAAAUCCUCUCCCCGCUACCA
Molecule: transfer RNA, 77 nt
Filed under: bacterium
Lineage: Bacteria
Also listed under: 1 other name
Description: tRNA-Met
Rfam family: tRNA
About the family: Transfer RNA (tRNA) molecules are approximately 80 nucleotides in length. Their secondary structure includes four short double-helical elements and three loops (D, anti-codon, and T loops).
Source: RNAcentral